UCCCUGGUGGCUCAGCUGGUAAAGAAUCCACUUGCAAUGUGGAAGACCUGGGUUCAAUCCCUAGAUUGGGAA
RNAcentral lists this transfer RNA (72 nucleotides) under Bos taurus (domestic cattle). It matches the Rfam family "tRNA". From Rfam's summary of the family: Transfer RNA (tRNA) molecules are approximately 80 nucleotides in length. Their secondary structure includes four short double-helical elements and three loops (D, anti-codon, and T loops). RNAcentral also lists the same sequence under 2 other names. Lineage: Eukaryota; Metazoa; Chordata; Mammalia; Artiodactyla; Bovidae. The record is from Rfam by way of RNAcentral.